GUGUUAAUUGAUUAUUUUUGUUUUAAUUUGUGUAUAUUUAAGAAUAUACAAGGCAAGAAAAUGCACAGUGUCUUCAUGUUUUACACCAAUCCUAUAUCUCAUGUAAAUCACCCUUCACUGUUUUGAAAUCAAUAAAAGCAUUUAGAUGUUUUCCAUAUAGUACUUCUACGCAUACUUAAGUAGUUAAGUGUUAAUUAGAGAUGUUGAUUUCGACCCAUUUUCUUGAAAAUAGGUUGAUUUGAGUUCUCCAAUGAGUCAAAUAUAUAACUUAAGAGCAUACAUAGAUGUGAAACAGGUCAAGAUGGAAGUCCCCAGAUUGUUAUUUAAAUAUUUGCAACUUCUUGAAUGUAUUUACCAAUUUCUUUUAGUGCACCGAACAGCUAGCGGCCUAUGGGGAAUUAGUGUCAAUCUGGGGGCUUAAUGCUGUUGAUACGACAAAUUACAACAUGGUGGUUGGGCUCCGAUGGGCCUACAUAUGUAUGAUCGGACAUCUCUAAUUAUAAGUUUCUAAAUUUAUUUGAAACAGAGCCCAUAUGGGGGGACAUAUUAUCACCAGCCAUCGUUUGACCUCCCGGUGCUGAAAGGAACAACGCCGUUGACGGUUUUUGAAUAAAUAUUAGGACCCACCGGAGAGACCAAACGGGCAUCAUCAUCAUGCAGGGAUGGAGUCAGAAUGUAUCAACUAUGGAGUUUAUCCAGAAUACUGCCUGGAGGGAACAAUUCUGAUCAAGAACAACCGAACAAGAUUGUUCUAAUGGUUGUCAUGAGUUUCCGAAACUAUCAGAUAAGGAUAUUCUUUCUUGUUGUGAACGAGGCGUGUAGAGUAUAUGCCGAGGGUAUUGCAGUAAAAGCAGCUGAUUUGGAUAUCGCGGGUGUUAUGGGAAUGGGAUUUCCACCUUACAGGGGAGGGGUUAUGUUCUGGGGAGAUUCAGUUGGAUCUAAGUAUAUAUAUAUGAGAGGUUGAAUGAGUGGUCAAAUAUGUAUGGGGACUUCUUUAAGCCAUGUAACUAUUUGGCCCAAAGAGCUACACUUGGGGCUCCGUUGAGUUCACCGUUGGAUCAAGCAAAAUCGCAAUUAUGAGAAUGGACGUCGCCUAUUGGUUUCAUGACCCUUGAACUAAUCAUGCUGAUUCUUUCGAUGACGAUCUCAACACCAUUGAAGCUGGUUGGUAGGUAAAUUUCUUCAACACAUACAUAUAUGUUCCUGCAUACGAUUGAAGAAGAUGACCAAGGUACUAUUAUCCUCAGAAUUUCUUUGUAGUUUGUUACUAUUUGAUUUAGGAAACAUACAAUUGUACUUUGUUUUGUAUGUAUGCAGGGAUUGAUUUAGGCUGGUACAAAUAUUAAAAUAAAAUGUUUUCUUGAUAGUGUACAUUAGUAAUGGCAAAUUUACGAUUAACGAGCCAACACCAUGCGGUGGGCCGCUUUGCUGUAUAUGUCAUGUAUAUGUUAGUGUCAUCAUCGUAGCGCGUA
This is an RNA transcript of Helianthus annuus (common sunflower), 1472 nucleotides long. It is a transcript of the gene named peroxisomal fatty acid beta-oxidation multifunctional protein MFP2-like, with no coding region annotated. The transcript has 5 exons. The record is from RefSeq and is a predicted model, not a curated record. NCBI's taxonomy places the organism in Eukaryota, Viridiplantae, Streptophyta, Magnoliopsida, Asterales, Asteraceae.